UGGGGAAUUUUGGACAAUGGGGGCAACCCUGAUCCAGCCAUGCCGCGUGUGUGAAGAAGGCCUUCGGGUUGUAAAGCACUUUCGGACGGAACGAAAUCGCACGGGUGAAUACCCCGUGUGGAUGACGGUACUGUAAGAAGAAGCACCGGCUAACUACGUGCCAGCAGCCGCGGUAAUACGUAGGGUGCGAGCGUUAAUCGGAAUUACUGGGCGUAAAGCGUGCGCAGGCGGCUUCGCAAGUCAGACGUGAAAUCCCCGGGCUUAACCUGGGAAUGGCGUUUGAAACUACGGAGCUGGAGUGUGGCAGAGGGAGGUAGAAUUCCACGUGUAGCGGUGAAAUGCGUAGAUAUGUGGAGGAAUACCGAUGGCGAAGGCAGCCUCCUGGGCCAACACUGACGCUCAUGCACGAAAGCGUGGGGAGCAAACAGGAUUAGAUACCCAGGUAGUCCCUGAGCGGGCUGGCAAGGCGCAU
RNAcentral lists this ribosomal RNA (472 nucleotides) under uncultured bacterium. RNAcentral's name for it is "bacterial SSU rRNA". It matches the Rfam family "Bacterial small subunit ribosomal RNA", at positions 355 to 825 of the family's 1533-position model. The record is from RNAcentral.